Molecule: transfer RNA, 97 nt
Filed under: Clostridiales bacterium
Lineage: Bacteria; Bacillati; Bacillota; Clostridia; Eubacteriales
Description: tRNA-Sec
Rfam family: Selenocysteine transfer RNA
Source: RNAcentral
GGGGGUAGAUGGGUGCUGGUGUGCCCUCUGGUCUUCAAAACCAGUAUGGGGAGUUGGUAGCUUCCUGGGUGGGUUCGAUUCCCACAUACUCCCGCCA